Folsomia candida is the source of this 1026-nucleotide long non-coding RNA. RefSeq lists it as uncharacterized. Lineage: Eukaryota; Metazoa; Arthropoda; Collembola; Entomobryomorpha; Isotomidae. The record is from RefSeq and is a predicted model, not a curated record. The transcript has 2 exons.
AAAAUGUCCAUGCACCGUCCAUUCCAUGGUCAGUGUCGUCCCACAUUUUCUGAUUAGUGAAUGCUUAUUUACUCGUAAAGUAAAAUUUAAGAAAACCAUUUUGAAUAAACAAUUAAAUUAUUACGAGUUCGCAACAUAACUUUUUUUUUGAAAUUGUGAUUUUGCAACGAAGCAACAAAGUGAAAAGGCACGGUCGCUGGUCUUUUUUCAUCACACGACGUUUUACCAUGGGUGACAAACCUAUUUCACAAAUGAACUCGGGGGGUGCGGCCAGAUAAUCACUGGAUACGAUGACCUGACUAUCCGCUAAGAAUUGUACCCAUAUCUUAAGAAACCCGACGUAGAAUUUCGAAAUUCGAUACAAAAGUUUCACUUCAUUUUUUCGACCUGGUGACCUGGAUGACCUGGAUAACUUGGAGGAGUUGCAGUAGUUCGCUUUAAGGGGAUCUGUUACGAGUCCAGCCGUGAAUUCUGUGAAAUGAAAUUUUCUCGAAUAUGCAAAACUGAAGAAUGUUGCAGAGAAGAACGACGAAUAAGACGCUGUGCCGAUGCCGUCCAGCCUAUACCAACUAGACAUCUUGCUUUAGGAAAACGAGGUCAACCUAACCCAGUCAGUGCUUCCCAAUAUCCAGCAGCUCGAGAAAAUGUAUUCGAAGCCUGCCUAAAGAGAUAUCUUGAAAAUGUCCAAAGAGAGUACGAAAGGAAAGAAUAAGUUUCCAAUUUUAUUUCGGUUUGUAAGUGCAAAAUAAUCGCUUUACAAAAGGGAGUUCCACCGUUUAGUACUUGUAGCUUAUAUUAUGCGAAUCAUGCAAUCCUUUAUGUAGUAAAUUAUCAAAUUAUACUUUGUCAGAAUACAUGUACAUAGGGAUUUUAACUGUUUAAAAAAAUUCUAUUAGUGUUUAUUAAUUAAAUUAUUUAUAUUCCUGCUUGGAAUUGAAACAAACCAAAAGCACAAUUAUUUGAGAGUGUAAUUAUGAUACAUAGUUCAUCAGCAAUUUAAAAAAUAAAUUCAAAAUGAAGUACAAA